AGAAGUUCUCGGGGCGGGGUGAAAUUCCCCACCGGCGGUGACGUCCGUGACCACGAGGUCCGGCGAAGCCCGCGAGCGCUGCCUACCCGGUCACCGGGCGGGCGGGUCAGCAGAUCCGGUGUGAUUCCGGAGCCGACGGUGACAGUCCGGAUGCGAGAGAACAGGC
RNAcentral lists this non-coding RNA (166 nucleotides) under Gordonia amarae. Its description in RNAcentral is "FMN sequence". It matches the Rfam family "FMN riboswitch aptamer (RFN element)". From Rfam's summary of the family: The RFN element is a highly conserved domain that is found frequently in the 5'-untranslated regions of prokaryotic mRNAs that encode for flavin mononucleotide (FMN) biosynthesis and transport proteins. RNAcentral also lists the same sequence under 1 other name. Lineage: Bacteria; Bacillati; Actinomycetota; Actinomycetes; Mycobacteriales; Gordoniaceae. The record is from RNAcentral.